UAGAGUUUGAUCCUGGCUCAGGAUGAACGCUGGCGGCGUGCCUAACACAUGCAAGUCGAACGGGAAGCCGGUUUCGAUCGGUGGAGAGUGGCGCACGGGUGCGGAACACGUAGCUGACCUGCCGCGAAGCGGGGAAUAACCGCUCGAAAGAGUGGCUAAUACCCCAUAAGCUCACAGGCGCUAGAGGCCUGCGAGAAAAACCCCGGUGCUUCGCGAGGGGGCUGCGGCUCAUCAGGUAGAUGGUGGGGUAACGGCCUACCAUGCCAACGACGAGUCGGGGGUCUGAGAGGAUGAUCCCCCACACUGGGACUGAGACACGGCCCAGACUCCUACGGGAGGCAGCAGUGAGGAAUAUUGCACAAUGGGGGCAACCCUGAUGCAGCGACGCCGCGUGGGUGAUGAAGGGUUUCGGCUCGUAAAGCCCUUUUCUGUGUGACGAGCAAGGACGGUAGCACAGGAAGAAGUCUCGGCUAACUACGUGCCGGCAGCCGCGGUAAAACGUAGGAGGCAAGCGUUAUCCGGAGUUACUGGGCGUAAAGCGCGUGUAGGCGGUUUGCUAAGUUCGCUGUGACAACGCCCGGCUUAACCGGGCGAGGCCAGUGAAGACUGGCAGGCUGGAGGCUGGCAGAGGGGUGCAGAAUUCCGGGUGUAGCGGUGAAAUGUGUAGAGAUCCGGAGGAAUACCAGUGGUGCAGACGGCGCCCUGGGCCAGACCUGACGCUGAGACGCGAAAGCGUGGGGAGCGAACGGGAUUAGAGACCCCGGUAGUCCACGCCGUANACGAUGUGAACUGGGUGUGCACCACGCACUGCGUGGGGUGUGCCGAAGCUAACGCGUUAAGUUCACCGGCUGGGGGAGUACGGUCGCAAGGCUAAAACUCAAAGGAAUUGAC
Molecule: ribosomal RNA, 891 nt
Filed under: uncultured Chloroflexota bacterium
Lineage: Bacteria; Bacillati; Chloroflexota
Description: bacterial SSU rRNA
Rfam family: Bacterial small subunit ribosomal RNA
Source: RNAcentral